AACGAACGCUGGCGGCAUGCCUAACACAUGCAAGUCGAACGAGACCUUCGGGUCUAGUGGCGCACGGGUGCGUAACGCGUGGGAAUCUGCCCUUGGGUUCGGAACAACAGUUGGAAACGACUGCUAAUACCGGAUGAUGACUUCGGUCCAAAGAUUUAUCGCCUAAGGAUGAGCCCGCGUAGGAUUAGCUUGUUGGUGAGGUAAAAGCUCACCAAGGCGACGAUCCUUAGCUGGUCUGAGAGGAUGAUCAGCCACACUGGGACUGAGACACGGCCCAGACUCCUACGGGAGGCAGCAGUGGGGAAUAUUGGACAAUGGGCGAAAGCCUGAUCCAGCAAUGCCGCGUGAGUGAUGUAGGCCUUAGGGUUGUAAAGCUCUUUUACCCGGGAUGAUAAUGACAGUACCGGGAGAAUAAGCCCCGGCUAACUCCGUGCCAGCCGCCGCAGUAA
This 449-nucleotide ribosomal RNA is filed under the name uncultured bacterium. RNAcentral's name for it is "partial 16S ribosomal RNA". It matches the Rfam family "Bacterial small subunit ribosomal RNA", at positions 29 to 523 of the family's 1533-position model. The record is from RNAcentral.